This 493-nucleotide ribosomal RNA is filed under the name Morganella morganii. RNAcentral describes it as "bacterial SSU rRNA". It matches the Rfam family "Bacterial small subunit ribosomal RNA", at positions 39 to 519 of the family's 1533-position model. The record is from RNAcentral. Lineage: Bacteria; Pseudomonadati; Pseudomonadota; Gammaproteobacteria; Enterobacterales; Morganellaceae.
AGCAAUGCGCAGCUACACAUGCAAGUCGGGCGGUAACAGGGGGAAGCUUGCUUCUCUGCUGACGAGCGGCGGACGGGUGAGUAAUGUAUGGGGAUCUGCCUGAUGGCGGGGGAUAACUACUGGAAACGGUAGCUAAUACCGCAUAAUGUCUUCGGACCAAAGCGGGGGACCUCCGGGCCUCGCGCCAUCAGAUGAACCCAUAUGGGAUUAGCUAGUAGGUGAGGUAACGGCUUACCUAGGCGACGAUCCCUAGCUGGUCUGAGAGGAUGAUCAGCCACACUGGGACUGAGACACGGCCCAGACUCCUACGGGAGGCAGCAGUGGGGAAUAUUGCACAAUGGGCGCAAGCCUGAUGCAGCCAUGCCGCGUGUAUGAAGAAGGCCUUCGGGUUGUAAAGUACUUUCAGUCGGGAGGAAGGUGUCAAGGUUAAUAACCUUGGCAAUUGACGUUACCGACAGAAGAAGCACCGGCUAACUCUGUGCAGGCAGCCGCA